Molecule: long non-coding RNA, 425 nt
Organism: Triticum aestivum (bread wheat)
Lineage: Eukaryota; Viridiplantae; Streptophyta; Magnoliopsida; Poales; Poaceae
Exons: 2
Source: RefSeq, a predicted model, not a curated record
AAACCGUAGCUGUCAUCCUCUUGCUCGUCCGUAUCUGCCUGGUUGGUGGUGGCAUGGCGAUGCGCACGAUGGCCGCGAGCCUGAAGCAGAAGCUCCCCGUCGCCGUCCAGCGGGUGUUCGCGUCUUCUCGGGCUCUGCCAGCGGGUGCUCAACGAAGUCGCGAAGAUAAUCAAGAGGAAGCGCAGGAAGGACCUCUUGGCCACUGGUGCUGGCGUUAGUUGUGGAGGGAUUCUCACGUCAUAUACACUUUAUCAACUCAGCAGUUGAAGUGAUGACUGGCUCACCAAGUGAACUGAUGAAUGGAAAUCUAUCCUGCACUGCAUGUUUAACUAUCUAUCCUGCACUACAUAUUUAACUAGCUAGUUGUAUGAUUCCUGUCCUGUCUUAUGUGAGAGCACUCUAUAUAAGAUGAGGGUUCUAAGUUC